RNAcentral lists this long non-coding RNA (1460 nucleotides) under Chinchilla lanigera (long-tailed chinchilla). RNAcentral describes it as "lncRNA (ENSCLAG00000026420.1)". Lineage: Eukaryota; Metazoa; Chordata; Mammalia; Rodentia; Chinchillidae. The record is from RNAcentral.
AUGCCAGGCGCUGUAAGGUCUGCUCUCCCUGCAUGCAGUGGGCACCUACCGUCCAUAGAAGGCCUGACCUCUGACCCCGGGCCAGCUGCUCCCAGGCUGGGGCUGUCCCAGCUACACAAAGUCCCCGAGGGUUUGUUUCCUGGGAAGCUGCUGGCCACAGAUUCUGCCUUCACCCUGGGAGGAGCGGGUACUACAGAACCCAGGACAUUUUCUGUCUCACCCAUCGCCCGUGCCCUUGAAGCCUUGGCACACGACGAAGAAGACCGCCCAGGGUGUGCUGAGCCUGGGAACAGGCAUCUGAGGCGCCUAUCAACAUUUCCAGGAGCAAUGGGUCGAUACCCACAGCUCCUGAAGCCCCAGACCCGGAGCCCUGGACCUCCUUGGCAGAACCCUGCCCCUGGAGCCUCCGUGGAGGACACAGCUGCGUGGACAGCCCUCCAGAUAACCUCAGUGUGAAUGUCAUCAGCGUGCACCUCAAAGCUCCCCGCCCACCACACUUGGAGCAUCAGCCACAGAGAUACUUUCUCCUGGCCUCAGCCCAGACGGACAGCCUGCAGCCUCCCAGGACGCAGCCAGACGACACACCCAGGCUCACCCUGGACCCCGCAGGCGUCCGUGGCUCCAGGCCAGCGGCAGAUCUGGAGGCCAGCUGAGCAAGCCAGAAGCCCUCACUGCUACUGCGGUCCGGAAAGCUAUAAAGCAGCAAUAACGUCAAAGUUAUUUAGGGGAGCAAGACCUGGGACUUGAGCUUGAGUUAAAAAGUUAGGGGCAGGAGUCAGAUCAUCCGGCAUUUCUUCGGAAGGAGGCAGGAACAGCUACUCACCUGGCUGGCACUGCAGCCCAUCAGAGAUGAGGCUCCUCUCCUCUCGAGGCUCCUCAGAGCAGGUCCUCCGUGAGGACCACACCACCACGGAGCCUGCCCUGCACCGGCCUGUGCUCGCCACUCCAGAGCGUCCCGGCCCCCCGCCGGCCUCCUCCUUGUCCUGCCAGGCCAACGAAACAAGCAGAACUCGAUAGUAAAUUAUUUUGUUCAGCCCUCUGUCUUUUUAUGAAAAUAAAAGCCAACACUUUGUCAUUUUUAAUCACAUAAGCAGACAAUAAAUCUAAUUUCGAUAUUGAUUUUUUUCCAGAAUCAAGUGAUUUUUUUGCAGUGCCUGUUGUGUUUCCUUUUCUAAAGAAGGGCUGCCGGCCUGCAGACUGGUGGCGUGGCCGAGCGUGUGCAGCCUGCUCCUCGGAAACAGGCGGUUGGCCGUGGACUUUGAAACCAGGCAGCUGAGCUGAGCGGGAGUUCCUAGCCGGCAGGGUGUCUCCGUCUUGUCUAGCUAUCUAAAUCGUGGUUUCCUCUGAGCCGCCCCUGGUGCCUACCAUAGAGCUACGGCUCAGCCAGUACCUUUAGUGGUUAGAGCUCCUGAGAUUCACUUUGCUUAAAUAGUUUCAAUAAAAUAAAAAUAAGCCAAAAA